Molecule: ribosomal RNA, 292 nt
Filed under: uncultured bacterium
Lineage: Bacteria
Description: partial 16S ribosomal RNA
Source: RNAcentral
GGACUACUAGGGUUUCUAAUCCUGUUUGCUCCCCACGCUUUCGUGUCUCAGCGUCAGUAUUCGUCCAGUUGGCCGCCUUCGCCACCGGUGUUCCUCUCGAUAUCUACGAAUUUCACCUCUACACCGAGAAUUCCACCAACCUCUCCGAUACUCAAGCCAUGCAGUUUCGGGUGCACUUCCCAGGUUAAGCCUGGGGCUUUCACAUCCGACUUGCGUGGCCGCCUACACACGCUUUACGCCCAGUAAUUCCGAACAACGUUUGCACCCUCUGUCUUACCGCGGCUGCUGGCAC